Molecule: ribosomal RNA, 483 nt
Filed under: uncultured bacterium
Lineage: Bacteria
Description: partial 16S ribosomal RNA
Rfam family: Bacterial small subunit ribosomal RNA
Source: RNAcentral
AUUGAACGCUGGCGGCAGGCCUAACACAUGCAAGUCGAGCGGAUGAAGGGAGCUUGCUCCUGGAUUCAGCGGCGGACGGGUGAGUAAUGCCUAGGAAUCUGCCUGGUAGUGGGGGAUAACGUCCGGAAACGGGCGCUAAUACCGCAUACGUCCUGAGGGAGAAAGUGGGGGAUCUUCGGACCUCACGCUAUCAGAUGAGCCUAGGUCGGAUUAGCUAGUUGGUGGGGUAAAGGCCUACCAAGGCGACGAUCCGUAACUGGUCUGAGAGGAUGAUCAGUCACAGUGAAAGUAGGACAGGGCCCAGACCCCUAGGGGGGGCAGCGGUGGGAAAUUUUGGAAAAGGGGGAAAAGCCUACUCCAACCAUGCCGGGGGGGUAAAAAAGUUCUUCGGAUUGUAAGGCUUUUUAGGUUGGGAGAAAGGGCAGUAAGUUAACACUUUGCUGUUUUGACGUAACCAACAAAAAAAGCACCGGCUACCUUGGG